This is a long non-coding RNA of Tyto alba (common barn owl), 3728 nucleotides long. RefSeq lists it as uncharacterized. The record is from RefSeq and is a predicted model, not a curated record. The transcript has 4 exons. NCBI's taxonomy places the organism in Eukaryota, Metazoa, Chordata, Aves, Strigiformes, Tytonidae.
CCCGAGUAGUGGGAAGGGGGGGAAGAGAGACUGCUCUGGUAAAAUAAAAAAACCCUCAGAAUUGUUUGUGGAAACUGCGGGUUUGCUGCCUCUUUUUCCACACUGUUGAGGGUGAAAGAUCCACGUGAAGUCACUAGAACACUGGGAAUAGCAAGGAAAAUGGGGAGAAUUUUAUUGCAAAUAAUUGUAGUUUAUAGAAAACACAUGGAGUACUUGUUAAAGAAAAAGUAGGUAAAAAUAUAAUGCCAAUGUGGAAUAAAUUGACAGCCCCUUCGAUACUUUUUAUGUUGACUUUCAUAAAAAGGAGCAAAAAGUGUUUCAAAACCAACUGAUUCUCAGCCUCUCUGAGAGUAAUGAUGACGAGUUGGCUGUGGGCAAAUAAAACCAGCUGACAUUUGAACAUGCGUGAGAACUACUGUAAAUCCCUGUUUAUGUUUCAGAGGCACAGGGAGCUUUCUGAAAAAGGAAUGUAUUAAACCGCACACACUUCAUAUUCUGUGGCUGAAAGGUGUGGAUACUAAGAUAUCGGGAGGCUGAAUAAUUUAUCCCAGCAGAAAGAGCAAGUCUUUGGCAACUGCGGGCAGCACUAGUGAGACAACACUACUUGUCUGUCAUCAACUUUUCAAAAAAACUGGAUGCAGCCCAGCUGGUGUUCUGCUUUCCUGUCCACAACAUGCACCUGAUACAUGAGACAAGCAAUGAACAUUUUUGAACCCAGGAUCCAUAGAGUGAAAACUCUCCUUAUUCUACGACACCAAGUAAGAAGAGCAUUGGGACCUUUUCCCUGGGAAUGAAUUACAGUUUGCUGCCCUCUGUUAGUGCAAAGCUUAGUUGUGAAGAUCCAUAUGAACUGUCAGGGAUAGUCUAUCCAAGUAACAUCUUCACUAAUAUGGAAGUAUUUUGGCAGAAUCACCUUUUGCUUCCUGUGACACAGUUAUCGAUGGGGAUGAACAAGUGACUGCAGCUGAGAAUACUGUUGUUUCCAAGAAAACAGAAAAUAAGUCUGUAUGUACUUUAGUAAAAUUUUGUCAGAUUGGUUGAUACAUCUGAUAGUCAGAUUUAGGUUAUCCAUGUACCAUGGAAACUGUUUCCAUAGCAAAGAUCUUUUAGCUCAGAGACAGUUGUCUCUGGAUUAAAUCCAAGGAUUCAGAUUGAUAAUCUAGAUCAUUCUCUAGCAGCUGGGAAGGUCAAUACUUAAGAAGAAAUGUCCACACAGCUAUCUGAAGGUUGUACCAUCCCACUGCUGGAAUAUAUUUGUGCCUUCCAGAGCAUGAGAAGUGCCAUGAUGUUUCCUUCCAUUCCAUGCAUAUUGGGUGUUCAGAAUGCCAUCGAGUGGUUUAGAGGCAGUUGCUCAUUCUGCCAAUAUUCACAGUUACCCGCCAGAAAUACAGAUAAUCGAUGGCAUCCCUUUGUCAAACAGCUGUAAUACAGUCUUCCUUUGUAAAGUUUCAAAAAGACCAGCUACUCUACUGCAGAGAAACUACUUUUAACCCAUGUAGUGAGGGUAGAGAGAGUAGAAAGCAUAUAAUGGUAAGGUCUUUCACAUUAAAUACACUGUUACCUGUUUGAAAGCUGAUUAAGAAAGAAUUGUGGGAUCUUGAAUGCUCUUGUGGAUCAACAUACUAACAAAACCCAGGAAGGGCACUGGUUGGGAUUUGUUAAAGGCUAAAUGAAAAAAAUAUGUUGUUUUCUAAACACUAUUAUACAGAAGUAAUAACUGUAUUGAAUUGGAUGUCCUUUGAGAAGUUAUUUUGUGGCCUGAAGAUACAAUUCAACUAUUUCUAUUUCCCAGGAAAUAGGACAGCACUGGCUAAAAGCCCAUUCUGAUUCAGUAGUGAAAUAGGUACAGGAAUUAAAAAAAAAAAAAAAAAGGCAAAACAAUAUGCAACAAGAAAAAAUGAUAAAUAUAUAGCAGUGGAUACACAAAUUCUACACUUCAUAAAUUCUGAAUGAUAAGAGGAUCUAAAACCAUUAGGAAGAAAUUCAUGCCUGACAAGUCUAAGAACAAAAGCAUUUAAAUACAUUGGGUACAGUUUAAAUCCUAGCAGUGGCAAAGAGCCACUGCUUGAUGGGUAAAUUAUUAGUAAUAAUGCAGAAAUAUUCUGUAUUUGGGAAGAAGCAACAUUACAUCUUUAUACCACAAAAGAAUCGGGAAGUCAUUUCAGCAGUAAUCAAGGAGGAAAAUGAACAAUAUCUAACAGGGGAUUAAAUAAAUAUUAAUCAGCAUAGCUAGAGAAGCUGUAUCCUGGCCUCUCAUGAUUUUAAUUAAGUACGGGAUUUCUGAAAAGUUUCUGGAAAAGUCAAAUACUGUUCCACGUUACAUAUUACAAAGGCAAAGUUGCUGAUCCAGGUAAGCAUAAGUUUGUUAGUCUGACACAAGUCCUAGGUAAGACAGAGGUGUGGUUUAUACAGGGUACAGUUAGAAAAAAAUAAUCUGAGGGUUGGAGUGGAAGUAGUGCUAGUCAGUAUGGUUUGUGGAAAAAAGAUACAGCAAAAGAUUUAAAUCAAGUAUGCUUGACAUUUGUUCACAAAGUAUAAGCUACCCCUCUGGGAGCUGGGUUGAAUGCCAUAUAGGUGCAAUAUAUUCAGACUUUUCAAAAUUACAGUACAUGAUUUCAUGUUGCCUGAAGUUCUGAUUAGCACUAAUCAAGACUAGUCUAUGUAAUAUCAAUAAAAUGCAAAUUCACAGUUUAAGAACUAGCUGACAAAUAAACACAGAAAGUACUGGUUACCAGGACACUGUAAUUAAUGGGAACCACCUAACCAAGGCUCCAUACAUGUAAGUAUUAAGUCUGAGCUAGGACUUUUAUUUGUGAUUUAGAAGUAAAUGUAAAAUCACUACUGGAAGGCAUUUAUUUACAAAUCAGUUUCAACCAGUGCAAUAAAUAGAGGCGCAAUGAGUUAGCAAGAUUCAUUUGUGUGGCUUAAGUUCAAAAUGAUCUACUUUUCCUAGUUGUGAGUGGAUAAUUUAUAGCAUCUGAGAGAAGUAUCUUGUAUUUGAUAGGAUCCACAAUAAAUGUGGAAGGGACCAUCAGCUGAGGUGAUUUAGUAGGAGAUUGGGACUAGCUCAUUUUCCACUACCAGUGGAUAGUUGACCUCCUAAUCACCCAUCACAUAUAAAAUAUCAAUAUGAAAGCAAAAUUACUAGAUGACGAAAGAAAACAAUAUUUAUGGGUAUUUACUGUGCUCUUGGGAGAAAAUAGCUAGAAUCUGGGGCCAGGAAUCUGAGGGACUUUUUGACUGGACCUUGCUGCUAGCUUGCUGAUGACCCUGCACAAAUUACAUCAUCUUCCUCAUCUUAAAUUUCCCUGUCUAGAAAAGAGGUAUAACGAUACUCACCAUUUUCAAAGAGCACUUAAUGAAAAGUGCUGUCUAGUCUUAUUGGUUCUGUAUUAUAUUAACUACAGCUUUGUGUGAUGGAUGUAGCUGGUAACUGCUCUCAAACAUCUGAUAAAGAAACAGACUGACAAAACACUUAAUGAAAGCAAAAGUGAGGAUGCCUUUUGGAGUCUUGUAUCCUUUCAAGCAUUCAAUGACAUUCAAAGUUCAAAGAAUCAGAAUGACAGUGUAUCACCACAACUCACUGGACUGUGUUUUUGGAAUAGUUCCAUAUAGUGGUAGAGACAUACUCUAUCUUUCUAGCUAGUGCAGAUCACUUAUGGCAUGAGAUAGGUAAUUGCAGACAAUUUAAAAAAAAAUAAAAAUAAUAAAUAUUCCCUCACUCGUAA